RNAcentral lists this ribosomal RNA (495 nucleotides) under uncultured bacterium. RNAcentral's name for it is "partial 16S ribosomal RNA". It matches the Rfam family "Bacterial small subunit ribosomal RNA", at positions 28 to 507 of the family's 1533-position model. The record is from RNAcentral.
GACGAACGCUGGCGGCGUGCCUAAUACAUGCGAGUAGAACGCUGAAGGAGGAGCUUGCUUCUCUGGAUGAGUUGCGAACGGGUGAGUAACGCGUAGGUAACCUGCCUGGUAGCGGGGGAUAACUAUUGGAAACGAUAGCUAAUACCGCAUAAUAGUAGAUGUCGCAUGACAUUUGCUUAAAAGGUGCAAUUGCAUCACUACCAGAUGGACCUGCGUUGUAUUAGCUAGUUGGUGAGGUAACGGCUCACCAAGGCAACGAUACAUAGCCGACCUGAGAGGGGGAUCGGCCACACUGGGACUGAGACACGGCCCAGACUCCUACGGGAGGCAGCAGUAGGGAAUCUUCGGCAAUGGACGGAAGUCUGACCGAGCAACGCCGCGUGAGUGAAGAAGGUUUUCGGAUCGUAAAGCUCUGUUGUAAGAGAAGAACGAGUGUGAGAGUGGAAAGUUCACAAUGUGACGGUAUCUUACCAGAAAGGGACGGCUAACUACGUG